This 68-nucleotide transfer RNA is filed under the name Alima pacifica. RNAcentral describes it as "tRNA-Pro". Lineage: Eukaryota; Metazoa; Arthropoda; Malacostraca; Stomatopoda; Squillidae. The record is from RNAcentral.
UCAAGAGGUAGUUUAUCUAAAAUAUUAGUUUUGGGAAUUAAUGAAAGGAAAAUUUUCCUUCUCUUGAU